This is a non-coding RNA of Caenorhabditis elegans, 21 nucleotides long. The record is from Ensembl. Lineage: Eukaryota; Metazoa; Nematoda; Chromadorea; Rhabditida; Rhabditidae.
UAGCAACGGUAUUGUAAUCAA